RNAcentral lists this ribosomal RNA (426 nucleotides) under uncultured bacterium. RNAcentral's name for it is "bacterial SSU rRNA". It matches the Rfam family "Bacterial small subunit ribosomal RNA", at positions 356 to 773 of the family's 1533-position model. The record is from RNAcentral.
AGGGAAUCUUCGGCAAUGGACGCAAGUCUGACCGAGCAACGCCGCGUGAGUGAAGAAGGUUUUCGGAUCGUAAAACUCUGUUGUUAGAGAAGAACAAGGAUGAGAGUAGAACGUUCAUCCCUUGACGGUAUCUAACCAGAAAGCCACGGCUAACUACGUGCCAGCAGCCGCGGUAAUACGUAGGUGGCAAGCGUUGUCCGGAUUUAUUGGGCGUAAAGCGAGCGCAGGCGGUUUCUUAAGUCUGAUGUGAAAGCCCCCGGCUCAACCGGGGAGGGUCAUUGGAAACUGGGAAACUUGAGUGCAGAAGAGGAGAGUGGAAUUCCAUGUGUAGCGGUGAAAUGCGUAGAUAUAUGGAGGAACACCAGUGGCGAAGGCGGCUCUCUGGUCUGUAACUGACGCUGAGGCUCGAAAGCGUGGGGAGCAAAC